This 428-nucleotide ribosomal RNA is filed under the name Gemmatimonadota bacterium. Its description in RNAcentral is "Gemmatimonadetes bacterium partial 16S ribosomal RNA". It matches the Rfam family "Bacterial small subunit ribosomal RNA", at positions 355 to 776 of the family's 1533-position model. Lineage: Bacteria; Pseudomonadati; Gemmatimonadota. The record is from RNAcentral.
UAGGGAAUCUUCGGCAAUGGACGAAAGUCUGACCGAGCAACGCCGCGUGAGUGAAGAAGUUUUUCGGAUCGUCAAACUCUGUUGUUAGAGAAGAACAAGGACGUUAGUAACUGAACGUCCCCUGACGUUCUCUAACCAGAAAGCCACGGCUAACUACGUGCCAGCAGCCGCCGUAAUACGUAGGUGGCAAGCGUUGUCCGGAUUUAUUGGGCGUAAAGCGAGCGCAGGCGGUUUCUUAAGUCUGAUGUGAAAGCCCCCGGCUCAACCGGGAGGGUCAUUGGAAACUGGGAGACUUGAGUGCAGAAGAGGAGAGUGGAAUUCCAUGUGUAGCGGUGAAAUGCGUAGAUAUAUGGAGGAACACCAGUGGCGAAGGCGGCUCUCUGGUCUGUAACUGACGCUGAGGCUCGAAAGCGUGGGGAGCAAACAGG